This 492-nucleotide ribosomal RNA is filed under the name uncultured bacterium. RNAcentral's name for it is "partial 16S ribosomal RNA". It matches the Rfam family "Bacterial small subunit ribosomal RNA", at positions 29 to 507 of the family's 1533-position model. The record is from RNAcentral.
AGUGAACGCUGGCGGUAGGCCUAACACAUGCAAGUCGAACGGCAGCACAGUAAGAGCUUGCUCUUACGGGUGGCGAGUGGCGGACGGGUGAGGAAUACAUCGGAAUCUACUUUUUCGUGGGGGAUAACGUAGGGAAACUUACGCUAAUACCGCAUACGACCUACGGGUGAAAGCAGGGGAUCUUCGGACCUUUCGCGAUUGAAUGAGCCGAUGUCGGAUUAGCUAGUUGGGGGGGUAAAGGCCCACCAAGGCGACGAUCCGUAGCUGGUCUGAGAGGAUGAUCAGCCACACUGGAACUGAGACACGGUCCAGACUCCUACGGGAGGCAGCAGUGGGGAAUAUUGGGCAAUGGGCGCAAGCCUGAUCCAGCCAUACCGCGUGGGUGAAGAAGGCCUUCGGGUUGUAAAGCCCUUUUGUUGGGAAAGAACAGCAGCAGGUUAAUACCCCGCUGUUCUGACGGUACCCAAAGAAUAAGCACCGGCUAACUUCGUG